This is a long non-coding RNA of Anopheles funestus (African malaria mosquito), 5790 nucleotides long. RefSeq lists it as uncharacterized. The record is from RefSeq and is a predicted model, not a curated record. The transcript has 10 exons. Lineage: Eukaryota; Metazoa; Arthropoda; Insecta; Diptera; Culicidae.
CUAAUGUGUCUUGGAUAAGGUGUCUUGGCUAAGGUGUCUUGGCUAAUGUGUCUUGGCUAAUGUGUCUUGGCUAAGGUGUCUUGGCUAAGGUGUGUUGGCUAAGGUGUCUUGGCUAAGGUGUCUUGGCUAAUGUGUCUUGGCUAAUGUGUCUUGGCUAAAGUGUCUUGGCUAAUGUGUCUUGGCUAAGGUGUCUUGGCUAAGGUGUCUUGGCUAAUGUGUCUUGGCUAAUGUGUCUUGGCUAAGGUGUCUUGGCUAAUGUGUCUUGGCUAAGGUGUCUUUGCUAAGGUGUCUUGGCUAAUGUGUCUUGGCUAAUGUGUCUUGGCUAAUGUGUCUUGGCUAAGGUGUCUUGGCUAAGGUGUCAUGGCUAAUGUGUCUUGGCUAAUGUGUCAUGGCUAAUGUGUCUCGGCUAAUGUGUCUUGGCUUAUGUGUCUUGGCUAAGGUGUCUUGGCUAAUGUGUCUUGGCUAAGGUGUCUUGGCUAAGGUGUCUUGGCUAAUGUGUCUUGGCUAAUGUGUCUUGGCUAAGGUGUCUUGGCUAAUGUGUCUUGGCUAAGGUGUCUUGGCUAAUGUGUCUUGGCUAAGGUGUCUUGGCUAAUGUGUCUUGGCUAAGGUGUCUUGGCUAAGGUGUCUUGGCUAAUGUGUCUUGGCUAAGGUGUCUUGGCUAAGGUGUCUUGGCUAAUGUGUCUUGGCUAAGGUGUCUUGGCUAAGGUGUCAUGGCUAAUGUGUCUUGGCUAAUGUGUCAUGGCUAAUGUGUCUCGGCUAAUGUGUCUUGGCUAAUGUGUCUUGGCUAAGGUGUCUUGGCUAAUGUGUCUUGGCUAAGGUGUCUUGGCUAAGGUGUCAUGGCUAAUGUGUCUUGGCUAAUGUGUCAUGGCUAAUGUGUCUCGGCUAAUGUGUCUUGGCUAAUGUGUCUUGGCUAAGGUGUCUUGGCUAAUGUGUCUUGGCUAAUGUGUCUUGGCUAAGGUGUCUUGGCUAAGGUGUCUUGGCUAAUGUGUCUUGGCUAAUGUGUCUUGGCUAAGGUGUCUUGGCUAAUAUGUCUUGGCUAAUGUGUCUUGGCUAAGGUGUCUUGGCUAAGGUGUCUUGGCUAAUGUGUCUUGGCUAAUGUGUCUUGGCUAAUGUGUCUUGGCUAAUGUGUCUUGGCUAAUAUGUCUUGGCUAAUGUGUCUUGGCUAAUGUGUCUUGGCUAAUGUGUCUUGGCUAAGGUGUCUUGGCUAAUGUGUCUCGGCUAAUGUGUCUUGGCUAAGGUGUCUUGGCUAAGGUGUCUUGGCUAAUGUGUCUUGGCUAAUGUGUCUUGGCUAAUGUGUCUUGGCUAAGGUGUCUUGGCUAAGGUGUCUUGGCUAAUGUGUCUUGGCUAAUGUGUCAUGGCUAAUGUGUCUCGGCUAAUGUGUCUUGGCUAAUGUGUCUUGGCUAAGGUGUCUUGGCUAAUGUGUCUUGGCUAAGGUGUCUUGGCUAAGGUGUCUUGGCUAAGGUGUCUUGGCUAAGGUGUCUCGGCUAAUGUGUCUUGGCUAAUGUGUCUUGGCUAAGGUGUCUUGGCUAAGGUGUCUUGGCUAAUGUGUCUUGGCUAGGGUGUCUUGGCUAAGGUGUCUUGGCUAAGGUGUCUCGGCUAAUGUGUCUUGGCUAAUGUGUCUUGGCUAAUGUGUCUUGGCUAAGGUGUCUUGGCUAAUGUGUCUUGGCUAAUGUGUCUUGGCUAAUGUGUCUUGGCUAAGGUGUCUUGGCUAAGGUGUCAUGGCUAAUGUGUCUUGGCUAAUGUGUCAUGGCUAAUGUGUCUCGGCUAAUGUGUCUUGGCUAAUGUGUCUUUACUAAGGUGUCUUGGCUAAUGUGUCUUGGCUAAGGUGUCUUGGCUAAGGUGUCUUGGCUAAGGUGUCUUGGCUAAGGUGUCUCGGCUAAUGUGUCUUGGCUAAUGUGUCUUGGCUAAGGUGUCUUGGCUAAGGUGUCUUGGCUAAUGUGUCUUGGCUAGGGUGUCUUGGCUAAGGUGUUUCGGCUAAUGUGUCUUGGCUAAUGUGUCUUGGCUAAGGUGUCUUGGCUAAGGUGUCUUGGCUAAGGUGUCUUGGCUAAUGUGUCUUGGCUAAAGUGUCUUGGCUAAGGUGUCUUGGCUAAUGUGUCUUGGCUAAGGUGUCUUGGCUAAUGUGUCUUGGCUAAAGUGUCUUGGCUAAGGUGUCUUGGCUAAUGUGUCUUGGCUAAUGUGUCUUGGCUAAUGUGUCUUGGCUAAUGUGUCUUGGCUAAGGUGUCUUGGCUAAUGUGUCUUGGCUAAGGUGUCUUGGCUAAGGUGUCUUGGCUAAUGUGUCUUGGCUAAGGUGUCUCGGCUAAUGUGUCUUGGCUAAUGUGUCUCGGCUAAUGUGUCUUGGCUAAUGUGUCUUGGCUAAUGUGUCUUGGCUAAUGUGUCUUGGCUAAUGUGUCUCGGCUAAUGUGUCUUGGCUAAUGUGUCUUGGCUAAGGUGUCUUGGCUAAUGUGUCUUGGCUAAGGUGUCUUGGCUAAGGUGUCUUGGCUAAUGUGUCUUGGUUAAGGUGUCUUGGCUAAGGUGUCUUGGCUAAUGUGUCUUGGCUAAUGUGUCUUGGCUAAUGUGUCUUGGCUAAGGUGUCUUGGCUAAGGUGUCUUGGCUAAUGUGUCUUGGCUAAGGUGUCUUGGCUAAGGUGUCUUGGCUAAGGUGUCUCGGCUAAUGUGUCUUGGCUAAUGUGUCUUGGCUAAGGUGUCUUGGCUAAUGUGUCUUGGCUAAGGUGUCUUGGCUAAUGUGUCUCGGCUAAUGUGUCUUGGCUAAGGUGUCUUGGCUAAUGUGUCUUGGCUAAUGUGUCUUGGCUAAGGUGUCUUGGCUAAUGUGUCUUGGCUAAGGUGUAUUCGCUAAUGUGUCUUGGCUAAGGUGUCUUGGCUAAUGUGUCUUGGCUAAGGUGUCUUGGCUAAUGUGUCUUGGCUAAGGUGUCUUCGCUAAGGUGUCUUGGCUAAUGUGUCUUGGCUAAGGUGUCUUGGCUAAGGUGUCUUGGCUAAAGUGUCUUGGCUAAGGUGUCUUGGCUAAGGUGUCUUGGCUAAGGUGUCGUGGCUAAUGUGUCUUGGCUAAUGUGUCUUGGCUAAUGUGUCUUGGCUAAUGUGUCUUGGCUAAGGUGUCUUGGCUAAGGUGUCUUGGCUAAGGUGUCUUGGCUAAUGUGUUUUGGCUAAGGUGUCUUGCCUAAGGUGUCUUGGCUAAGGUGUCUUGGCUAAUGUGUCUUGGCUAAGGUGUCUUGGCUAAUGUGUCUUGGCUAAGGUGUCUUGGCUAAUGUGUCUUGGCUAAGGUGUCUUGGCUAAGGUGUCUUGGCUAAUGUGUCUUGGCUAAGGUGUCUUGGCUAAGGUGUCUCGGCUAAUGUGUCUUGGCUAAUGUGUCUUGGCUAAGGUGUCUUGGCUAAUGUGUCUUGGCUAAUGUGUCUUGGCUAAUGUGUCUUGGCUAAUGUGUCUUGGCUAAUGUGUCUUGGCUAAGGUGUCUUGGCUAAUGUGUCUUGGCUAAGGUGUCUUGGCUAAUGUGUCUUGGCUAAGGUGUCUUGGCUAAUGUGUCUUGGCUAAUGUGUCUUGGCUAAAGUGUCUUGGCUAAUGUGUCUUGGCUAAGGUGUCUUGGCUAAUGUGUCUUGGCUAAUGUGUCUUGGCUAAUGUGUCUUGGCUAAGGUGUCAUGGCUAAGGUGUCUUGGCUAAUGUGUCUUGGCUAAGGUGUCUUGGCUAAGGUGUCUUGGCUAAUGUGUCUUGGCUAAGGUGUCUUGGCUAAGGUGUCUUGGCUAAUGUGUCUUGGCUAAUGUGUCUUGGCUAAGGUGUCUUGGCUAAGGUGUCUUGGCUAAGGUGUCUUCGCUAAUGUGUCUUGGCUAAGGUGUCUUGGCUAAGGUGUCUUGGCUAAUGUGUCUUGGUUAAUGUGUCUUGGCUAAUGUGUCUUGGCUAAUGUGUCUUGGCUAAGGUGUCUUGGCUAAUGUGUCUUGGCUAAGGUGUCUUGGCUAAGGUGUCUUGGCUAAUGUGUCUUGGCUAAUGUGUCUUGGCUAAUGUGUCUUGGCUAAGGUGUCUUGGCUUAGGUGUCUUCGCUAAUGUGUCUUGGCUAAGGUGUCUUGGCUAAUGUGUCUUGGCUAAGGUGUCUUGGCUAAUGUGUCUUGGCUAAGGUGUCUUGGCUAAUGUGUCUUGGCUAAUGUGUCUUGGCUAAGGUGUCUUGGCUAAGGUGUCAUGGCUAAGGUGUCUUGGCUAAUGUGUCUUGGCUAAUGUGUCUUGGCUAAUGUGUCUUAGCUAAUGUGUCUUGGCUAAGGUGUCUUGGCUAAGGUGUCUUGGCUAAGGUGUCUUGGCUAAUGUGUCUUGGCUAAUGUGUCUUGGCUAAGGUGUCUUGGCUAAGGUGUCUUCGCUAAUGUGUCUUGGCUAAGGUGUCUUGGCUAAGGUGUCUUGGCUAAUGUGUCUUGGCUAAGGUGUCUUGGCUAAGAUGUUUUGGCUAAGGUGUCUUGGCUAAUGUCUCUUGGCUAAUGUGUCUUGGCUAAGGUGUCUUGGCUAAUGUGUCUUGGCUAAGGUGUCUUGGCUAAUGUGUCUUGGCUAAGGUGUCUUGGCUAAUGUGUCUUGGCUAAGGUGUCUUGGCUAAGGUGUCUUGGCUAAUGUGUCUUGGCUAAGGUGUCUUCGCUAAUGUGUCUUGGCUAAUGUGUCUUGGCUAAUGUGUCUUGGCUAAGGUGUCUUGGCUAAUGUGUCUCGGCUAAUGUGUCUUGGCUAAAGUGUCUUGGCUAAGGUGUCUUGGCUAAGGUGUCUUGGCUAAGGUGUCUUGGCUAAGGUGUCUUGGCUAAGGUGUCUUGGCUAAUGUGUCUUGGCUAAUGUGUCUUGGCUAAUGUGACUUGGCUAAGGUGUCUUGGCUAAUGUGUCUUGGCUAAGGUGUCUUGGCUAAUGUGUCUUGGCUAAGGUGUCUUCGCUAAUGUGUCUUGGCUAAUGUGUCUUGGCUAAGGUGUCUUGGCUAAUGUGUCUUGGCUAAUGUGUCUUGGCUAAUGUGUCUUGGCUAAGGUGUUUUGGCUAAUGUGUCUUGGCUAAGGUGUCUUGGCUAAGGUGUCUUGGCUAAGGUGUCUUGGCUAAUGUGUCUUGGCUAAUGUGUCUUGGCUAAUGUGUCUUGGCUAAUGUGUCUUGGCUACGGUGUCUUGGCUAAGGUGUCUUGGCUAAGGUUUCUUGGCUAAUGUGUCUUGGCUAAUGUGUCUCGGCUAAUGUGUCUUGGCUAAGGUGUCUUGGCUAAGGUGUAUUGGCUAAGGUGUCUUGGCUAAGGUGUCUUGGCUAAUGUGUCUUGGCUAAGGUGUCUUCGCUAAUGUGUCUUGGCUAAGGUGUCUUGGCUAAGGUGUCUUGGCUAAGGUGUCUUGGCUAAUGUGUCUUGGCUAAGGUGUCUUGGCUAAGGUGUCUUGGCUAAUGUGUCUUGGCUAAUGUGUCUUGGCUAAGGUGUCUUGGCUAAUGUGUCUUGGCUAAGGUGUCUUGGCUAAGGUGUCUUGGCUAAUGUGUCUUGGCUAAUGUGUCUUGGCUAAUGUGUCUUGGCUAAGGUGUCUUGGCUAAGGUGUCUUGGCUAAUGUGUCUUGGCUAAUGUGUCUUGGCUAAUGUGUCUUGGCUAAUGUGUCUUGGCUAAUGUGUCUUGGCUCAGGUGUCUUGGCUAAGGUGUCUUGGCUAAGGUGUCUUGGCUAAUGUGUCUUGGCUAAGGUGUCUUGGCUAAUGUGUCUUGGCUAAGGUGUCUUGGCUAAGGUGUCUUGGCUAAUGUGUCUUGGCUAAUGUGUCUUGGCUAAGGUGUCUUGGAUAAUGUGUCUUGGCUAAGGUGUCUUGGCUAAUGUGUCUUGGCUAAGGUGUCUCGGCUAAGGUG